This 1200-nucleotide ribosomal RNA is filed under the name iron-reducing bacterium enrichment culture clone FEA_2_D2. RNAcentral describes it as "partial 16S ribosomal RNA". It matches the Rfam family "Bacterial small subunit ribosomal RNA", at positions 268 to 1503 of the family's 1533-position model. The record is from RNAcentral.
UCGAUGCCAUUGUAGGUAGUCCAUGCAAGUCCUCGACUGACGUACGUCACGUGCAACUGGACCGGUCCAAUCUAUGUAGCAGCAGUCGGCAUAGUGAGCAAUCGCGAUAGCGUUAGUAGACACGCCACGUCAGGUAGAGACAUCGUGUCGUAAAGUAAGUUCUUGGGUAGAGAAAAUGACGUACUCACAGAGAGCCCCGCUAAUACGUGCCAGCAGCGCGUAUACGUAGAGGCAAGCGUGUCCGGAAUUAUUGGGGUAAAGGGGGGAGUCGGCCGAUUAAGUCAGAUGUUAAAUAACCCGGGUCAACUGUGGGGGUGCAUUUGAAAAUGGUUGGGUUGAGUGCAGGAGAGGAAAGUGGAAUUCUUAGUGUAGCGGUGAAAUGCGUAGAGAUUAGGGAGGAACACCAGUGGCGAAGGGGACUUUCCGGACUGUAACUGACGCUGAGGCACGAAAGGUUGGGGAGCAAACAGGAUUAGAUACCACGGUAGUCCACGCCGUAAACGAUGGAUACUAGGUGUAGGGGGUAUCGACCCCCCCUGUGCCGGAGUUAACGCAAUAAGUAUCCCGCCUGGGGAGUACGGCCGCAAGGUUGAAACUCAAAGGAAUUGACGGGGGCCCGCACAAGCAGCGGAGCAUGUGGUUUAAUUUGAAGCAACGCGAAGAACCUUACCAGGGCUUGACAUCCCUCUGAAAGGUGUAGAGAUACAUCCCUUCUUCGGAACAGAGGAGACAGGUGGUGCAUGGUUGUCGUCAGCUCGUGUCGUGAGAUGUUGGGUUAAGUCCCGCAACGAGCGCAACCCUUAUGAUUAGUUGCCAGCAGGUAAAGCUGGGCACUUUAAUGAGACUGCCGGGGAUAACUCGGAGGAAGGUGGGGAUGACGUCAAAUCAUCAUGCCCCUUAUGUCGUGGGCUACACACGUGCUACAAUGGCCUGAAACAAAGGGAAGCGAAGGCGUAAGCCGGAGCGGAACCCAUAAACCAGGCCCCAGUUCGGAUUGUGGGCUGCAACUCGCCCACAUGAAGUCGGAGUUGCUAGUAAUCGCGAAUCAGCAUGUCGCGGUGAAUGCGUUCCCGGGCCUUGUACACACCGCCCGUCACACCAUGGGAGUCGGGGGCACCCGAAGCCGGUGACCGAACCGCAAGGACGGAGCCGUCGAAGGUGAAAUUGAUGACUGGGGUGAAGUCGUAACAAGGUAGCCGU